CCUACGGGUGGCAGCAGUGAGGAAUAUUGGUCAAUGGACGAGAGUCUGAACCAGCCAAGUAGCGUGAAGGAUGACGGCACUAUGUGUUGUAAACUUCUUUUGUAAAGGAAUAAAACGAGGCACGUGUGCCUUUUUGCAUGUACUUUAUGAAUAAGGAUCGGCUAACUCCGUGCCAGCAGCCGCGGUAAUACGGAGGAUUCGAGCGUUAUCCGGAUUUAUUGGGUUUAAAGGGUGCGUAGAGGGGUUGGUAAGUCAGUAGUGAAAGUUUGCGGCUCAACCGUAACACUGCAAUUGAUACUGGCAUUCUUGAGUACACUUGAGGUAGGCGGAAUGCGUGGUGUAGCGGUGAAAUGCAUAGAUAUCACGAAGAACCCCGAUUGCGAAGGCAGCUUACUAAACUGUGACUGACAUUGAUGCACGAAAGUGUGGGUAUCAAACAGGAUUAGAUACCCUUGUAGUC
RNAcentral lists this ribosomal RNA (460 nucleotides) under uncultured bacterium. Its description in RNAcentral is "partial 16S ribosomal RNA". It matches the Rfam family "Bacterial small subunit ribosomal RNA", at positions 338 to 795 of the family's 1533-position model. The record is from RNAcentral.